CUACAUAAAAUACACGUAUCACCUGAAAAUAAAUUAGAAUGAAAGAUUUAUGUGUUGAAACAUUCAUUUUUAAAAACCUGAAAAAGCUCAAAAAAAUAUUGUUUUCUUAUUUUUAUGCAUUGAGAAGAUGGCAAUUAACUCAGUGGUCUUAACAUGUACAUUUGUGCUUUAAUGCUAUUUCUUCUCGUCGUCCUUAUUUCAGUAUUAUUGAUAGAUCAUCCUGUGCCUUUUGGAGCAACUGAUGAAGUACAUGCAUAUGGCGUCUAUUGAUUCCUAAAUAAAAAAUAAACACAAUCCUUGUUCAGCUUGAGCAAGGGAAUAUUAUUAAAAUUUACACAUUGGAAUAUUUUGGUACUACCGUAAUAAAUAUGUUGUAACUUCUGCAAGCCUCACGUUUUAAAUCUGAAUAUUUAACUCUCUCGAGUGGAGAAAUAUUGUUACACACUUAAAAACGAAACAGUGGUAGAAUCUAUUUGUAAAGCAGCA
RNAcentral lists this long non-coding RNA (486 nucleotides) under Mytilus galloprovincialis (Mediterranean mussel). Lineage: Eukaryota; Metazoa; Mollusca; Bivalvia; Mytilida; Mytilidae. The record is from RNAcentral.